Molecule: long non-coding RNA, 1038 nt
Filed under: Triticum aestivum (bread wheat)
Lineage: Eukaryota; Viridiplantae; Streptophyta; Magnoliopsida; Poales; Poaceae
Description: long non-coding RNA (TAES_LNC027994)
Source: RNAcentral
CUCUCAUGUGAGGUAAUUUUAACUUCUCAGUUGGAUAUUAGUCAACAUCCUUCAAGUUAGGAAUGUUCAGUGUCCCCAUAUCUAAUUUAUCUUCUUGGUUACCCUUGCUCCACGUUCCUCUGCUCCCCCCUUGCGUGUUGACAAUGGAGGCUUUACAUCACAGUGUGAGGCAGUGGUGCCUGCAAUAAGUGUAGAUGACGAGGAAGAGCUGCAUCCACUAGGUCUCUUCUCCAUGGUCGUUGUGUUCCCAAGCCCAUGUGAACUUUUUAUCUUUUUUAUUUCUUCACUUCCAUUUCUCCACUUUUCUAGGCCAAGAACCGUCUUCACUUUUCAGGUUGCUGCUGCUACAAAUCCAAAUAAUUGUUUUGUUAUCCAUGGUGCUUCUCAAUGUUCAAAAAAGCAGAAAGCUUAAGCGGAGCGGAAGGCCACAACUCAGAGCAAUGGGCGCUUAAGCGUAAGCGCGUUUAAGCGUUUUUUUUUAAAUUGGCCAGAAUCUGACUGUUUCUGAGUAAUAUGCAGGGAAAAUAGGAAAGUUCUCUCUCUUCUACUGAUGCAGUAGCACCAUCAUCAUUACUAGCAUUAUCUCCUUUGUAAAUUGGAGUUGUUAUUUUUGCUUGGAAGUGAAGUUGUUACCUUUGUUUCUUUGUUAGUAAGUGUAAAUAUAAAAUUUGAUGUCCAUAUUUUUUGCAAAUGAUGUCUCCAUCGGCUACGGGUGUUUUCUUUUGCCAUUUGCCAAUUAUACUUGCCCCCUUUUGCUACUCAAAUGCCGAUGAUGAAUUAAAAAAUAAGAUGCACUGGAGAUGGGUCUAUACAGUACCUAAAGGAUGUAAUAGUUUUCCAUUGGUUCAAAGUGAUGUGAUUAUGUUGUGAUUUUCAGAAUUGCUACUCCAGUUUUGUUCACCAUUCAUAGAACAACACUCUGCUGGUCUUGCUAUUCGCCAUUUUCCUCCCCACUAUAAUGCUGCCACUCUGUGAUGCCUCGGCAAGAAGGCCAAUCGCAGGGAGAUACGCCAUGGCAUGUCCUGAAGAGGCAAUCAG